Molecule: long non-coding RNA, 1946 nt
Filed under: Aplysia californica (California sea hare)
Lineage: Eukaryota; Metazoa; Mollusca; Gastropoda; Aplysiida; Aplysiidae
Description: uncharacterized LOC118478310
Source: RNAcentral
AAACUGCCCAACUGGGUUUUGAGAAGGCUUAUCUUCCGAUAUGCGGAUGAAAACGGCCAGAUCAGUCUGGACAACUUUCUGGCUGCGAUGGCCCGCUUGAUGAAGACUUACAGUGUAUUCCAAGAAAACCAGAUUGAUGGUAAAGCCCCUUUUGAACUUGAACAGUGGCUGUACAGGACUUUGGUCCUGUGAGUGAGACGGUUGUGAACGGAGAUAUCCAGAGCUUGGUAGCAGAACAGAGACCCACAUCUCUGCAACAGUAUUCGGAAUCUCAAGAAGUGCCAGCACACGUUGUAGGACAAGUUCAAAAUGUUUCAGCUUUCCAUUUACUGUGUGUAUUUUGACAUAGCUAGGUUUCAAGAAGCCUUAGGCAUUCUACGAUUUUUUUGACCCAGUGCCAUGCUGAGGAGAUAUGAACGGAUAUAUUCAGAAAUUAUUUCUUACACUUAUUGAAAUUCUCUUUAAUUUAUUCUCCACAAGGCGUGUAUUUUCAACACAGGGGUGGUUUUAAAAAACUGAACAGAUUCUUCUAAUGAACCAUUAUUAUGGGUCGAAUUGUUUCGAGUGUUUUUGUAUAAGCACUGGUAUCAGUUUGAGUGGUUCUCUCUUGUUUCUCUUUUGCUUAUUUCAAGGCCCCGGUUUGUACUGUUUUCCUUUCAUUUAAAAUUCCUUUUCCUCUUAGAUUUUCUGUCUGACUUCACUUACGUAAGUGUUUGUUUGUUGAAAAAGAUGUAUGUGAAGAUAUUGUAAUUCGGUGUGGUCUUGUUAUUUUGAACUGACUGUCUGAUGCACAUGCUUCUUUUUUAUUUUUACUGAUUGUACUGAGAUAAAAUCUGAUGACUUACAUUCUGUACAAUUUUGUUUGUGUGCUUAAGCUGCUAAUAUGCAUUCCAGACCCUAAUCUUUCACUUGUGUUAUACAUUCCCAGUUUUUGUGCUUUUUGUGGUCUUUGGUGUGCAGGCUACUCAAAGAAUUUGCUUUAUUUUGAUCCCCAAGCCCAGAGUGAGUGGCCACUUGUUAACUUGUUAUCUGUGCAAUGUUUUGACAAUCAUCAUCUGCUCCUCCGAUGCACGAUGGUGCAUGCACGGUGGUGCUCACAACAUAAUUUGUCCCUGGAAAUCUCAAUUAUGGAGCAAACAUCUGCGUUAUUUUUGCUUAUGUUAUUGCCUUUUGUUCGAUGGCUAUUAGGUAGCAUUAUAGUGACAAGUGAUGCUAUACUUUGAAAAUAUCACUGGAUGUAGAUAACUAAUGCUGCUAAUAAAAAGAAAAGAUCGUAUGGUCUGGUUGAGGUGCUAUUAUCAAAAUGUCCAUCAAGGUAGAACUUGUUAUCCACCACAGAAUUACUGGAGACAGUGGGAAGUCUUCCAAGUGUAUGGCAUUUUUUUUUCAGAAACAGUAUUACUAUUUAUGAAUGUUACCAAUGACAAGUAUUGAUUUGACACAAUUUGCGUACUGUAGGUCUAUUAUUUACAGCAUUUCCAGUACCAGUGCAAAACAAAGUACAAUUGCUCAUGAUGACCCUUUGUGGCCAAUUUUGAUGAAAACCUGUCGACACAUGAAGUAUAGUUUGCUCUUGAAUUGGUCAGCUGAAAUUGAAAACGAAUAUUUGAAGAAAAAAAAGUCAAAUUUUUUUUUCUACAUUCUAUGUGCUAAUUAAACUUAAAAAUAAUACAAGGGCCAAUAUCAAUAUCAGUUUCAGCUGAAUGCAAGACAAUGGUUAUGAACUAUACCAAACAGAUCAGGACCUUUAGACAGCAUGUUGAGUUGCAUUUUCUUUUUAUCGCUUAAAUUGUUUAGAUUUCAUUGAAAUUUUAUUUUUUUACUACUACUACGCAGUCUCCAUUUUUGCAAUUACAAUUAAACUGACUAUGGAAAAGUACAGGGUGAUCCCAAAAAAACUUUACAACUUUUUUUCUGAAUAUCUCGCGCAAAAAUUGUUCUAGAAU